CAAUAGCGUAUAUUAAAGUUGUUGCGGUAAAAAAGCUCGUAGUUGGAUUUCUACCGAAGAUAGCCGGUCGGGUCUACGACCUUGUAUCUGGUUUUGUCUUUGGUAUCCUCAUAGGGAACGUUUCUGCGCUUUAUUGCGUGGUGCGGUAUCUAUGACUUUUACUUUGAGGAAAUUAGAGUGUUCACGGCAGGCAAACGCCUUGAAUAUAUUAGCAUGGAAUAAUAACAUAGGAUCUUCGUCCUAUUUUGUUGGUUUCUAGGGCUAAGAUAAUGAUUAAUAGGGAUAAUUGGGGGCAUCUGUAUCAACGCGUCAGAGGUGGAAUUCUUGGAUUGCGUUGCGACAAACUACUGCGAAAGCAUUUGCCAAGGAUGUUUUCACUGA
Molecule: ribosomal RNA, 381 nt
Filed under: uncultured eukaryote
Lineage: Eukaryota
Description: partial 18S ribosomal RNA
Rfam family: Eukaryotic small subunit ribosomal RNA
Source: RNAcentral